RNAcentral lists this long non-coding RNA (9152 nucleotides) under Cricetulus griseus (Chinese hamster). RNAcentral describes it as "lncRNA (ENSCGRG00015042728.1)". The record is from RNAcentral. Lineage: Eukaryota; Metazoa; Chordata; Mammalia; Rodentia; Cricetidae.
CAGCCAGAGGAUCCAAAGUACCUGACACAAGCAGCUUGUGGCACCUUUGAGGAAGUAGCGUGGGGAAGAACACAGGGUGAGACCAACAAGGCCCGAGUCGUGAUCCUGCAGCACUUUCUGGGCCAUUGGAUUCUUUCCCCUGAAGAAUGAGUGACAGGAGCAGGCUGCUGUGUGCGCUGGGCAUGAAGGACUCAGAAAGAAGGAUUUAGAAGAAAAUGGAUGCAAAUACGUGAUAAUUUGGAAGAUGAUGGGGCAGGAAUUAGGUCUGUGAAAUCUUUUCCUAGACACCAAUGAGAUCAUGUGGAUCAGACUGAAAAAUCGGAAGAAACUUUUGUGUGUCUCUGCUGGACAAAAUCCAAUACAGGAACAGAGGAUGUGGACUGCUGACAGCCCCCCCCCCCAACAUCAAAUCUCUUUCUUUCCCCAUAGAAAUGGAAACAAUAUUUUAAGUAAUAAAAUGUGUCCUCAUUUUAGCUGGGUGUGUGGGCACCUAGUAGAAGGAUAUUUUGUCAGCCUCUCAGCUUAGUACUGAGCCCUAGGGCAUGGCUGUAAGUGCAAAUAUAAAAAUAUGAUAUGGCUGGAAGCCACAGCUGUUUGGGAAACACAUCCAAUCCUCCACUUGACUGGGAGGUGUUGGUUGGCUGCUUCUACAGUAGCCAUUUUGGUAAUUCAAACUUCAGGCUUGUAUGAAAACAAGAGCCUGGGUGCUGAAAACAUUGUUUUUGGCUUUUUAAGAUUCUAAUUGUCAUUUUUAAUUGUGUAAUUAGGCAAUGCUUCAUAAGACAUUAAAAUGCUCCCAAGGACUUUUUGGGUAGGGCCACCUAUGAACUUUAAUCAAUCUGCCCUAGUUCUUUGACCGAUAGAAAACACUGUUGCUUAAUUGAAGCCAUUGUAGUUUGGGUCUUUUUCUUCCUUUCUUCCACAAACUCCAAUUCUAACCGGUACAAGGAUGUUACAAUAAAUCUUUCUGCCAAAAGCUGCCGGAGCCCCACCGCCACGUGUGAGCUUUACGCCAGCCGACAGCCUGAGUUAGGGCCCAAAUGAAUACACAAAACUUGUAUUAGGUACAAUGCUGCUUGGCCAAUGAUUAGGAUUCUCAUCUGUUAGCUCAGUCUUAAUUAUCAUAAACCUAUAUAUUUUAUAAGACUUAUCAGACACCUUAUUGGCGUCCCUCCUUGCCGGUGGAUCACAUUGUGCCGCUGGAGCAGGAGCAGAGGGGGAAAAGAGUCAUACUUCUUGUUUCCUCGCUUAGAUAUGAGUCUCCUUGCCAUGUCACUUCCUGCCUGGAUCAUCACUUCUCUACUACAUUUCCCAGAAUCCUCUUUGACUCCUAGUCCUUGCUUGCCAUUGGCCAAACAGUAUUUUAUUUAACAAUAAGAUAAACAUACACAGUACAUUCCCCAUCAGAAGGAUUAAAGAAUAAAAAGAAAAAUAUACAGGAAAACCACUGUGGUUUUCACACAGAGAUGAUGAGUAGCAAAAGGAAAGAUGACUGUGAAGGGAGAAGCAACCCAUAGCAGUACCCUCAAGUCCUGAGACCGAAGCAGACACCUCAACCUACUCUUAGCCAGUAAUCUCUAAAUUUAGGCAGUUACUUCUAUUUUGAAAAUGGUCUUAGUGUAGCCCAGGCUGGCCUCCAAUUCAUGGUGUAGUGGACGAUAAAGAUGGCUUUAAGUUCCAGAUCCUCCUGUGGUGCCUCCCAAGUGUUGGAAUCACAAGCCUGUACUUCCACGCAUGGUUUAAAACUCGGAUAAGGCAAGCACUCCAUUCUUUGUGGGUUCAUUUCUUGUCUCCUCCCCAAAAGCCUCCUUUCCUUUAAGACAGAACUGUGAUUUUUUUUUUUUAGUUUUGCUGUUGUAAUUGAGGAUAUUGUGAUAGGCUGAGGGGGCAGAUAUGAUUUUAUAUAAAUAGUACAAAAAGCUAACACCAAUUAAAACUAGGCUUCAUUAUAAAAAUGAAAGCUCACUGGAAAAUAGCUGCUGACCAAAGCCAUUGAAAAUUGGGAAAAAUUACAAAAACAGACAUGGUAAAAACAGAUCGCAUAUUAAAGAAUCAUCUAAUUGCUUCGGAGAAGACUGGCACCUCCUCAAGCAUCAAUCAGUAAGUGGUUCUAAAUCUAGGUCAGAUAUGAAACCCCAUUUCCCCCGGCUUCAUAGUAUUGUCCCAGUUAGCUUGCUAGCAGGGGGUGAUGUGACAUGGUCUGCCAGUGAACUGGAAGGAGGAUGCCAAGGGGUUCUGGGAAAGAGGUUUUACUCUGCUAAAACCGAGCUCUAAAUGCACCCCUUAGGCCUUUGGGCAGGGUACUGUGCUGUUUCUUUAUCAUUUGUGAUGCCAGAAUGAGAGGAAAGGUACUUGAAGCUUCUGGCAGCCAUCUGGGGUCCAGGCGGUGAGCGUAAGCGUGGAAAGUCCACCGGAAAAGUAGGGGAGCCAGGUGAGGCAGCCCGAUGUCACCCUGUGCUUCCAGCCCAGGCCCUGGCCCCUCAUAUCAGAAAGGCUGUGGUGAUGCUUCGAAUGUCCUGUUGCUGCUGAUGGUCACACUGGACAGGCAAACAGCCAUCCAGCAUUUUGUUUGUAUUCGUUUUUUUUUCUUUUCUAAAUUAAGCUUUGUUUUCCACAUUCAGACGGUAUUAAUUGCUCAUGCUUCAGCUGUUUGUCAUAUUCUUGCUUUUGCUGCUUUUUUUUUUUGCUGACAGUGUGCCUCAUGUAGACGGUGUGUGUGUGUGUGUGUGUGUGUGUGUGUGUGUGUGUGUGUGUGUGUGUAAAAAGAGACACAGAGAGGGGACAGAAGAGAAGAGGGAGACAGGAAAAGUCCUGUCUGCCCCAGGGGAACAGCAGGAAAGAGAGAAGUAGGAAAGAGAACAGAAGUGGGUGGGGGUCUGUCUUUUAAAAGGGUCCUUUGCAUCUCUGCAGACUAGGACUCAUGGAACCCUGGGCUGACCAGGGUACUGCCCGAGUGCAUUCUGUCAGGAGACAGGGGCAGGCCAGCAUAAUGCCUGAGUCCUUACAGGCCCUGCCUAGAAUAAAGAAACAGAAGCGCUUCAGCCUGGGUUGACGCAGAGCUUCUGUGUGCAGAACUUCCUUUUCCGUAACACUGUGAGCAUUGUGGAGCACACCGGAGGAGGAUCGCAAGGUUAACAGUUAAUGUCCCUGACACUUAUGUGUGUGUCCUAUACUCACCCCCCUCUUUUGAGAGCAUUGAGUACAUAAUGCUAUAUCUUAGGUACACUUCUGGGCUCUAGGAAUACAAACAUGAAAAAAUAUAUAUCCCUGACAUCAAAGAACUUCCUCUCCAUUGAGGAGAUGAACAUAGGUUAUUAGACGUCAGAACUCUAGAUUUGUGUCCUAGAUGGAGUAAAGCCAGGAUGGAUAGUGGGUGGGAGGCAAAUCAUGGGAAGGAGAUAAGAUUAGGACGGCAAGGUAGAUGUUGAGAAACCUAGAAGAGGCCACAGGAGGAUCGAUGCCCAGGUUGUCUCUGGAAAGUGAAGCUGUUGUGGAUUGGCUCACUUUGGCUCCAUGAGUGCCUCAUUUGGAGACUCUUUUCAAAUCACUGAGCAGGUCUCAAGUUUGUAGUCACUAAUAAAGAAGAUGAGCAUAUCUAAGUGAUGAAACGGAAUUGAUUUUUAAAAAUACUUCUAUAAAAGCAAGGAAAAAGAAGGCAACAUAGCGAAAUUGGCAUUCUAUUUGAGAACUGAUGGAUCAGUAUCAAGUUUGAGGGCCAUGGAGAGGACUCACUGAGGAAGAGUGCUUGCUUGUGCAAGCAUAAGGACAUGAAUUCAAAUCCGGAUGACAUAUAAACAGCCAGGCAUGGCUGUGCAAUUUCAGUGCUGUGUGGAGGCAAAGACAGAAUUGCUGGGGCUUGCUGGCACCUAGCUCCAGGUGCAGGGAAAGAACCUGUUUCAAAGGAGUAAGGCAGAGAGAAACAGAGCAGGACAUGGAUGUCCUGUGUAUGUUCAACAGAAACACCUCUACCACCACGGCUGCUGUGUGUAAUUGCAAGUAAUUGCAGUUCUCAGCGGAUUCCCCAGGCACUCACUACUUUGACUCUAACUUGGCUUUUGGUGUGCUUCGUUCUUGAAAAUAGUCACCCACAAAUGCUCGUUAAGUGAAAACACACAUAAUGAUUGUUAAGUCAAGGCCGUUGCUCUGGGGAAGACAGGACCUAUGAAAAAUUAGUAAAGGGACAUGAGCAAAUUCUUUAACUUGGAUGCCAGUUUGCAGCUCUACAAAUUCUAUUGAAAACUGGCAGGUGGCUUAUUUAUGUCGACUGAAGACAUAAGAGUGAGAAAUAUAUCAAAAUAUCAUUUUUCCAGACAUUUUGAUAUAUCUGUUUUCAAAUUCUUACGCAUAAAGUCCAAAAGCAUGCUUCAUGUUUUCCACUGUCCCCAUAAUGUGUUUAGCCAAUUUUUGGAAAUGCUGUUUGAGAACAUUGGUUCUUCAUGCCAUCAACCCUGAAGCAGAAUGAAAUAGGCUGGCUAUCUCCAGUGCCUCCACAGGGGCUCCCUAAGUGGUCGCCAUGCCCACUUGAAGAGGGAUGGUGGUGGCCAAAGGGAGCAAACUGAAGUAGAUAUUCCAGGCUUUCACCCAGCUUUUAAUUGUUUGUGGACCUCAGUGAGCGGUCAUUGACUUCUUGAUAAAAGCAACUUCUAAGAGGCUGAUCCCCUUCUUGUUAGUCAUCCCAGGUCUCUUCAUUCCAAUUCUUUGUCAUUGAAAGAGUAUGGUUAGGACCACUCUAGCUUGUGUAGUUGGGAGGAGGCAGGUCACAUGACUAAUUUUGACUGCUGAGUCCUCUUCUUUGGACUAGGAUGGGAAAAUAGAGCUUCCUGAGUCUAACAUUUUAUCACUGGGGGUGUGAAAAUUCUCUGCCCAACAGACAAAUGAAAUCCCAUGGUAACACACAUGAUUUCUGUGUAACUGGCAGUGUGUUAUAUGGUGAUGGGAAAACGUUGGCUGACAGAGAAGACAAAGAUGAAUCCUGGUGAUUGACAGCACUUGUGCUUCUUAUGUACCUGCAUCCCUGUAGAGCUUAGUUAGAACCUUCAGAUUAGCCAGCCGAGAGCCCCGUGAAAGAUGUCUUAAACUUGAGCAUGUGCAGUGGUGGCAUUUGGUUACAAAUGACUAUAGCAGAGCAGUUUACACCAUGGAGACCUGUUGAGGUAAGUGCCAGGACACACACAGUGUGCUUUUUCUCAUGAACUUCAGUUUCCUUUAGUUCACUAAAAUCUAUUUGAGGAAAUAAUCUUUAUUCAUGUAUGUGCCUAUGAGGAGUAUGUGUGUGUGUAUGUGUAUGGAGUGUGUGUAUGUAUGUGUGUGUGUGUGUGUGUGUGUGGAGUGUGUAUGGAGUGUGUGUAUGUGUGAGUGUGUGUCUGUGUGUAGUGUGUAUGUGUAUGGAGUGUGUGUGUGUCUGUGUGUAGUGUGUAUGUGUAUGGAGUGUGUGUAUGUAUGUGUGUGUGUGUGUGUGUGUGUGUGUGUGUGUGUGUGUGUGGAGUGUGUGUCUGUGAGGAGUGUGUAUGUGUAUGGAGUGUGUGUAUGUGUGAGUGUGUGUCUGUGUGUAGUGUGUAUGUGUAUGGUGUGUGUGUGUGUAGUGUGUAUGUGUAUGGAGAGUGUGUGUGUGUGUGUGUGUGUGUGUGUGUGUGUGUGUGUGUGUGUGUGUGUGUGUUCUCAUAUAUUUCUAUUGAUGCUUUUGUGGACAUGCUCAGGUGCACAUGCAGGUAGAGGCCAGAGGCUGUCAUCCAUUCAUUUUCUUGAGCAUUCUCUAUUUACUGAGGCAGACUCUCUUGCUGGAACCAGAGCACACUGAUUCCCGUCUAUCUUGCCAGUCUUCCUCUAUCUCUGUCUCCCAAGUGCAGAGAUUAUAGACAGGCCACUGGCACUGGCCAGCUUUUUAUGUGAGUGCCAGGAAUCUGAACUUCAGUCUCAUGCUUGCACAGGAAGCAUUUUUUUAAUGCACUGAGCCAUCUCCCCAACCCAGGAAAACAAUUUUUACUCUCCUGUCCUAAAGAGUCCGUUAAGAAUGGUAACACUUGUCUCUCUAUGCUAACCUUUCCCUUUUCAGAGGAAGGAGCCCUGCAGGAAAGUCACAUGUGGAACAGGCACCAGGAACAUUUUUCAACCUUCUGCUUGGCAACUAUUCUAUAUUUUAAAACCUCAAAUUGUUCAUUGCUGCCAGAUGAGUUUUAGAAAGCAAAGGAGGUUGGUGUAGCUGCCUCAUAAAGGCCCUUGGGAGAUUCUUUUGAACACAGACUUUAAGACUGAACCCUUAAUGUGUCCGUUUACCACAUCUCCUGUUUUCCAUCACUGUUUUGGGGUUUUGUUCAGAGAAAACAUUAACAUAGUUCUGUAUUUAGUUCUAGAUGAAUUAAAACAAGAGCAACAUUACCAAACCACUUUGUUGACUGGAACACAGGGGAGAGGGCUGUGGCCAGAAUGCCGUGUGACACCCUUCACUGAGGGGGAGAGAAGAUCGUGUCUGUAAAAGACAGCAAUGAAUCAGAGUAAUUCUGAGGACAGAACAAUGCUCUACACUGCUAAUGAACAGCUGAUGAGAUCACAGAACCAAGUUUCAAUGUGACAAUCACAACAGACUGUUUAUUCAUAGUUUGUCCUCACUGCUAUAGGAAUGAAUGGGUAGAUAUUUUUCUCCAUCCCAGGAAGUCUCUAGCUAAGCAUUUUCACUCCUUCGUGUAGGAGUGUCAGGGACCUGGAAACCCAUUCCAUGCCACCAGGCUCAUGAGUGAUGGGUCGUUAGGGUGACAGUGGUGGUAGGAUGGUCACAUGGGCCCCAACAGGGAGAGGUAGAGGAUCCUAUCUUACAGAGGACAGGCCCUGGUGGUGGAAGGUGAAUUUAGAGCAAUUCCUGGAGAGACAGUGUACAUAAAGUUGCAAAGUCCACACAGGGAGCUUACCAAUAGCAGAGUAGGAAAAGAUUUAACAUUAAGGACUUAGACCUGAUGUUUAAAAAAAAAUAUUGGCUUUUUCUUCUGAAAGCAAUGAGGUUUGGAUUAGGGGAGCAAUCAGCAGAAUGAGAUGAGAGAUGAAGUAUGUUAACAUUUACACAGAGACUUAACCUCAAAUGAAAUGGCCCUCAACCAGUGAGAAAUUGUGUUAGGAAGUAGGGAGCCAAACUUCCUCACCCCUUACCCAGAUGAUUUUAGAUGUGAGUCAGAAAACUCUCCCAGGGUCUCCAGCAGGUUGGUGCCCCGGUUUCCUACAGAGGUAAUCUAAUCAUUUAACUCCCUUGCUGGCUUUACCCUUCCUUCUAUCAGAUCCCUCAUUUGUUGUGAAUCUCCCUGGCAUAAAUCAUUUCAUCAUGUAAGUUGUUUCCACACAAAUGCAUGCCCCAGGGUCCUCUUUUGGUGGGAGGGAACACAAAUCCCUAUUGCUGGUUGGACUUAAUGAUCAUUUCGGGAUAGACAGCCCUAUCACAGUACCUACAAAGGAGUCAUUUAUGACAUUUUUGGGUCCAUUACUUUGCACAAAGGUGACAACUCCAAAGAAGAAACAUGAAUAAAUGACAAAAAGAGAAGGUGACAGUUGUGUAUAUAGGUGGCCCUCUUUUGGGGAUAAAAUAGUACAAUGGUGCUUAUUUCCUAAUAUAUGACUCUCCUUGGAUACUAAAUGUGUCUGUCAGGGAAAAAUAAUGUCAUACUAUUAAGAAUUAGUAAUACAUGCUUUCAGAUGACAUUAGCCUAUUAAUUCUAAUUUUAUCUUAGUUGAACACAAAUGCUGUUCAGUGUUUAGAUGAUUUAUCAAGAUAUGAACUGAAGCUUGCCAAAUCCCUAGCUGAAGUCAUAAAUAAUUUCAACAUCUUUUGUUUCACAUUUGCUGUUUAAAGGGCCAUAAUAUUGGCAAAUGUAUCAUUGUUAGACUUUCUUAUAUUUUAAGCAUGAAGUCUACUCCUUUAAAAAAGCAGCUUAAGUCACGGCUUUCUUUAAAAUCGUAGACCGAUGUCUACCUGCAUCUGUAGCUUUUCUGGGCAGAGUAAGGGUCCUACAGGAAUUGAUGCCCAAAAUCUUGGCUUUAAGAUGGUUUGUCUCUUCCAAAAUCCAUGUUGAAAUUUGGUUCCCAGGGUAAAAUGUGGAGAGGUGCUGAGAUGUUUAUGAGGUGUUUGGGUCUCAUGGGGCUCUAUCUUCCUUAAAGGAUUAAUGCUAAUCUUGCAGGAGGAAGUUACUUCUUGUGGGGAAAAUGCUGGUUAUCAUGAGAAUAGGAGCUAUGAAAUAAGCAGAGCUUCCUCUGGUCUCUGUGCUCUUGCUCCUGACAUGAUCCUUUCUGCCUUUCUGCAGGAUGUGGCCCUUACCAGAUGGCAACCAGUUGCCAGUGUGGUGCUCUUAGACUUCUCAGCCUCUAGGACGGUGAACCAAGAUAAAUUUCCUUUAUGUAUCACCCAGUUGAUAUUUUGCUAUUUUGCAAUAGCAAUGGCAAACAGACAGAGACACAUGUCAUCUUUCAGAAAGAAGAGUUGACAGACAGUUGGUUGAAGACAUUCUCCUCUAUAUCAGCCCUAGAUUUCCACUGAUUUCUAAGCUUUGUUCAAACAAGUACCCUAACUGUAAUUACAAUCAUAGUUAAAUAAUGGUCCGUGUACAAACACAAAACUCUAGAAUAUACCAACACAUUGCCACUAUUUCCAUUACGUUAAAGCAUCAGGAUUCUGAGUAGGUAACAGGCAAGCCAUGGUUGCACAACUAACCAGAAUUCUCAGGUUAUUGAUCAGCUUUGUUGGGGGGUGGGGGGCACUGAUAAGUUGAGGGAAACUCUUGUCAACACAAACCCCAAACUACCAAAUGUGAGACAAUAUAUAGAAGAUUAGAGUCCCUUGAAGAGCCCACUUAUUAGCACAAAGGGAUACUUCGCUGAAAUUACUUGACACUAUAACUCCACAGAAGCAUAGCAUGAAAGGUGUGGUGGGACCACUAACAAAGUCAGUGGCUCUGAGCCAAUCUAUAUAACCUCAUCCAGAAAUCUCAGUCAUUGCAGUGAAGAGAUAGUACUGGUCACAGAGAUGCUCAAAAGGAGGGGCACUGAGAAAUUGCUAGGAGACUCUUCUGUUGGCAUUACAGUGAAUAGGCUUUUCCAGGGAACUGAUUGAUCAUCACUCUGGUUUCAAAAUAACUGCCUGAGAAUGAUGACUUCACUGGGUGUUGAAAACCUGAGAA